This 352-nucleotide unclassified non-coding RNA is filed under the name soil metagenome. RNAcentral's name for it is "partial contains 5.8S ribosomal RNA, internal transcribed spacer 2, and large subunit ribosomal RNA". The stretch from base 1 to 121 matches the Rfam family "5.8S ribosomal RNA", at positions 35 to 154 of the family's 154-position model. The record is from RNAcentral.
GAUGAAGAACGCAGCGAAUUGCGAUAAGUAAUGUGAAUUGCAGAUUUUCAGUGAAUCAUCGAAUCUUUGAACGCACAUUGCGCCUCGCGGUAUUCUGCGAGGCAUGCCUGUUCGAGCGUCAUUGAAGCAAUGUUCAAGCUUCACAGUUUGGUCGUGGUGGAUGAGCAUCGACUUUGAUUCUCACCUCCAAAAUUGAAUGGCGGAUGUUGGGAAGCUGCCUUGAGCGUCGUAAGUGCCAGACACUCGCCUUGGUGGCUCUGAAAAUCCUGCCCACAAACCUUAGAUUACCACAGGUUGACCUCGGAUCAGGUAGGGAUACCCGCUGAACUUAAGCAUAUCAAUAAGCGGAGGA